CAGGCGAUACGGCUUAUGGUUUCGAUUGAGGAAGUUGUUAAUCUGGUUGCUAGGAGUGUACAUAGCUAUUCCAUUCCUAGUCAAACUUUGCCCUGCUAUUCAGGCGAAGCUGGUCUUCCUAAACUUUGUGAGGGUCCCAUAUUUCAUUGACUUGAAAAGACCACAGGAUCAAGGUUUAAACCACACCUGUAAUUAUUACCUGCAGCCAGAGGAGGAUGUAACCAUUGGAGUCUGGCACACAGUUCCUGCAGCCUUAUGGAAGAAUGCACGAGGGAAGGACCAGCUGUGGUUUGAAGAUGCUUUGGGUUCCAGCCAUCCUGUAAUUCUUUACUUGCACGGCAAUGCGGGAACAAGAGGAGGGGAUCACCGCGUGGAGCUUUACAAGGU
Phaethon lepturus (White-tailed tropicbird) is the source of this 387-nucleotide long non-coding RNA. RefSeq lists it as uncharacterized. The record is from RefSeq and is a predicted model, not a curated record. NCBI's taxonomy places the organism in Eukaryota, Metazoa, Chordata, Aves, Phaethontiformes, Phaethontidae. The transcript has 4 exons.